UACAAACCAGAUGAAAAUGAAGUUCGAA
This 28-nucleotide non-coding RNA is filed under the name Mus musculus (house mouse). Lineage: Eukaryota; Metazoa; Chordata; Mammalia; Rodentia; Muridae. The record is from RNAcentral.